AAUCAACGCUGGCGGCGUGCCUAACACAUGCAAGUCGAACGCGGUUAUCCCGCAAGGGAUAACUGAGUGGCGAACGGGUGAGUAACACGUGGGUGACCUACCUUCGAGUGGGGGAUAACAUCCCGAAAGGGAUGCUAAUACCGCAUAACAUCCCGCCUUUGAACAGGCGGAGAUCAAAGCCGGGGAUCGUAAGACCUGGCGCUUGAUGAGGAGCUUGCGGCAGAUUAGCUAGUUGGUAAGGUAAUGGCUUACCAAGGCUACGAUCUGUAUCCGGUCUAAGAGGACGGUCGGACACACUGACACUGAAUAACGGGUCAGACUCCUACGGGAGGCAGCAGUCGGGAAUUUUGGGCAAUGGGCGAAAGCCUGACCCAGCAACGCCGCGCGAAGGAUGAAGUAUUUCGGUAUGUAAACUU
Molecule: ribosomal RNA, 416 nt
Filed under: uncultured bacterium
Lineage: Bacteria
Description: bacterial SSU rRNA
Rfam family: Bacterial small subunit ribosomal RNA
Source: RNAcentral